This is a long non-coding RNA of Camellia sinensis, 910 nucleotides long. RefSeq lists it as uncharacterized. NCBI's taxonomy places the organism in Eukaryota, Viridiplantae, Streptophyta, Magnoliopsida, Ericales, Theaceae. The record is from RefSeq and is a predicted model, not a curated record.
UCUCUCUCUCUCUCCCUCUCUGUUGCUAUUCUCUCCUCCCUCUUUCACCCCCACUCCACCAGCCAUGGAACAACUCUCCUCCUCCGCUCCUCCUCACGUUUGCCGGCAACCGAAGCACCGAUUCACUCCUUGUUGGCAACCGGAACAACUCUCUUCAUAGUGUAUACUAUUUGGUUUGGAACUCUAACGGUGCUGCCCCUUUGUGUCCCUCUCUCACAUAGUCAAUAGCGAGCAACGCCAAUUGUGACCCUCUCUCUGGUCGUUGCCCUCUGUCCUCUCUCUGUUGUUCGAUUUUCAAGUUGUGGACUUGCAUUCCGGUGCCCAGCACCUAUGCUACCACUCCUGCUCCUCCCCUCCUUGCGGCCUCGUCUCCGUCUCCGGCCUUUUUCUCGUCUCCUUUCAGCUUCGUGAUCCAUCUUUCUUAUUCGGCUUCGUCCUCUACUGGUCCUGGAACAAGCCUCAUGUGGAAGUUAAGUGCUUCCCAGCAGAACCAAUUAAACCGCUUGCUUCUAAUAGUGACGGGACUUAUAUAGUUGGAGGAGGUGUUUUUGGGGAAAUAUAUUCAUGAGAGGUUGGAAAAAAGAGGACUCCUCCUUAUUGGGAUGCCUAGCGAGUGGGCUUCUUUUGAGAUGAGCUUCCCUGUUGUGUUUUCAGAGCAAUAACCUCCUAAUUGCUUUUGCAUGGGCUAUUGUGGAUAUUUAUUUUUGUGUACGAAGAGCAUUUGUUCUGUAAAUGGAAGACAUUUUUUUUUUCAAUCCUCUAUUUUGGAAAUCCAGUAUUUUUGUAUAUAAUAUUUAAUUUAGAUGGAUAAUACAUAGUUGGUAUGGAUUUAUAUGAUAUUUGGAAUAUGAUGCUACUGUAAGUUUCUGUAUUUCUGUAUAUACAAUUGUAUCUUUGAUUACAAUAAGAC